AUAAAAAAAAUAAAAUAAAUAUGUUCAUUUGUAUUUAUUUACCUCUUCUUGAAGGAGGGAAGCUUUUUCUAAUUUUCAUCAAAGCACCAAAUGGACUAGAGGUAUUUUGGGUGCUGUAAUUAAUUAGCUUUAUUCACAUUUUUCGUUCCUUUUACAAAUACGUAUUGAGGGUCUUUUAUGAGUCCAAACAAUAAAUUUGGAAGUGGUGUGAAAGAUGGAGUAGGUGGAGCUUACAACAUAGGCAAGAAGAGAAGUUAAAAGUUAUCACAGAGUCUAAGUGGAUGGGAGGAGAGACACAAUGAGAAUAAAGAGAGGAUGAUAUUCCCCAGACAGCUGAGAGCUAGAUUUGACAGCCCUUGAUGAUUAUUUGAAUGGACAUAUGGUUAGGAAGAUGUACAGGGAAGGCAAGGGAUGAAAGAGAAAAAUGUCAGGGAUGACUGAGAUUCCAAUUUACUGUUUGGGGUCUCUGGGGAGAUGAAUGCAAAUCAAGGAAAACCAGAUUUAAUGGGUAAAGGAAUAACAUAAUUUCAUUUUUAUACAUAUUGUGCUUGUAUAUGUAUUGCAUACAUAUUUAUAUUGGCACGUGUGUGUGUUUUAGUAUAAUUAAGGUACGUGCUUUCUGUACAUUUAACACUAUAAUUGGGAUAUAAAAACUAUUUGAUAAAUACUGAUGAAUUUAUUAAAUGUCAUGAAUUUUUACAUUACAUGUUGUUAUGAGUAAUUUCUGAAUACCUGUUCUUUUUAUUUUCACAGAUUUUUUUGUGCAGAGAAGUUAUGUGUAUCAUCUCUGGGGUCUCUAUGUAAAUAAUAUACAAAACCCUGUAACUCAAGGCCUUACAUUAACAAAAAAUACUAAAAACUCAUUAAAAAUGAAACCUGAGGGAAGUUCCCCAAUCACUCCUGGUGCUGGCCUGAAAAGGGGAUUGGGAAUAAAGAGGAAUGAAAAGGAAAGGCCACAUCUGUGUCACAAUUCCCUAACUCCGGGACCAGGAAUGGGGUGGGGGAGAAGCUGCCUUUUGCUGCCAUUGCUGCCAGUGCUGCUGCUGCCACCAGACAUGGUCCUGUUGCUGCUGUUUCUGCUGCUGCUUUUGCUCAGCUUGCAGGUAGUAAAUGCUGCCAGGACUGGAUCCUUCCCUUCAAGACGUUGGGUUUCCUGCUGGUCCAGGGUGUACCUACAAAUGUCAUCUGGGAUCUAGGACCUGGAAUGGAGGCCUCACGACUCUGAACAGUGUCCUAUCCUGCUGUGUCUGAGCUGCUAUCCAAGAUGCAAGACAAAGUCCUCCUCAUUCUUCCCUCUCCUCUCUUCAAGUUAAAGGAAGAGGUCUUCCUUGAGCAACAAGUUGUACAGCCUCAUUUUUGGUACUUAUGAAGAUAUUUUUUCUGUGCAGAUAGUUGUUAAAUUGGUGUCCUUGUGAGGGGUGGUUGAAGGUGGGACAAGCACUGGAGCCUUCUAUUCCACACCUUAUUCUGCCUCUUGACUUCCCAGAGGAAUUAAUCUUGAAGCUAAAACCUAAAUAAUGUAUAAGAAUUAAUUAAAUGAUGAACAAAUUGGGGAUUGUUUCCUGUUCUAGAGGGAAAUAAUUCAUGGGAACAUGUGAUAACCUGACAUAUAAGAAUAAAUUAAAUGAUGAACAAAUUGGGGAUGGUUUCCUGUUCUAGAGGGAAAUAAUUCAUGGGAACAUGUGAUAACCUGACAUAAAAAAGAGAUUGGUGCAAAUGAGGAAUUAAAUUUUGGCUGAAGAAUCAAGAACUCGCU
Molecule: long non-coding RNA, 1756 nt
Organism: Callithrix jacchus (white-tufted-ear marmoset)
Lineage: Eukaryota; Metazoa; Chordata; Mammalia; Primates; Cebidae
Source: Ensembl